GGAGGGGUGGCAGAGUGGACGAUUGCGACGGUCUUGAAAACCGUUAGGCCCGUAAGGGUCUCGGAGGUUCGAAUCCUCUCCCCUCCGCCA
RNAcentral lists this transfer RNA (90 nucleotides) under Chloroflexota bacterium. RNAcentral's name for it is "tRNA-Ser". It matches the Rfam family "tRNA". From Rfam's summary of the family: Transfer RNA (tRNA) molecules are approximately 80 nucleotides in length. Their secondary structure includes four short double-helical elements and three loops (D, anti-codon, and T loops). RNAcentral also lists the same sequence under 1 other name. Lineage: Bacteria; Bacillati; Chloroflexota. The record is from RNAcentral.